CGGAGAACGUGGCGGCGUGGAUUAGGCAUGCAAGUCGAACGGUAUAAACCUUUCGGGGUUUAGAGAGUGGCGAACGGGUGAGUAACACGUAGGUAAUCUACCCUUUAAGACGGGGACAACCCAGGGAAACUUGGGCUAAUACCGGAUGAGAGUGCGAGAGAUUGCAUUUAAAAGGAUGGCGAAAGUUAUCGCUUAGGGAUGAGCCUGCGGUCUAUUAGUUAGUUGGUGGGGUAAGAGCUCACCAAGGCGAUGAUAGAUAGGCGGCCUUAACGGGUGGUCGCCCACACUGGGAUUGAGAUACGGCCCAGACUCCUACGGGAGGCAGCAGUCGAGAAUAGUCUACAAUGGCCGGAAGGCUGAUAGUGCGACGCCGCGUGAACGAGGGAGCCCUUCGGGGUGUAAAGUUCUUUUCUAUACGAGCAGUGCUAUAUAUAUGGAUAGUAUAUAUAGAGGGAUAGUAGUAUAGGAAUAAGCAACGGCUAACUCCGUG
Molecule: ribosomal RNA, 490 nt
Filed under: uncultured bacterium
Lineage: Bacteria
Description: bacterial SSU rRNA
Rfam family: Bacterial small subunit ribosomal RNA
Source: RNAcentral